Molecule: ribosomal RNA, 433 nt
Filed under: uncultured bacterium
Lineage: Bacteria
Description: partial 16S ribosomal RNA
Rfam family: Bacterial small subunit ribosomal RNA
Source: RNAcentral
AACGAACGCUGGCGGCAUGCCUAACACAUGCAAGUCGAACGAGACCUUCGGGUCUAGUGGCGCACGGGUGCGUAACGCGUGGGAACCUGCCCUUAGGUUCGGAAUAACUCCCCGACAGGGGUGCUAAUACCGGAUAAUGUCUUCGGACCAAAGAUUUAUCGCCUUUGGAUGGGCCCGCGUUGGAUUAGCUAGUUGGUAGGGUAAAAGCCUACCAAGGCGCCGAUCCAUAGCUGGUCUGAGAGGAUGAUCAGCCACACUGAGACUGAGACACGGCCCAGACUCCUACGGGAGGCAGCAGUGGGGAAUAUUGGACAAUGGGCGAAAGCCUGAUGCAGCAAUGCCGGGUGAGUGAUGAAGGCCUUAGGGUUGUAAAGCUCUUUUACCCGUGAUGAUAAUGACAGUACCGGGAGAAUAAGCCCCGGCUAACUCCGUG